GGCAUCGCCCUUCGGGGAGAGCCGCAGCAUGCAACCCUUGCCUAUGUCUACCAUUCGUUAUUCCCUCGGCGGGGUGACCUGCCGACGGGGACCAACAAACCCUUUUGCAUAAGCAUCGAAAUUCUGAAAACACGCAAAAUAAUCACAACUUUCAACAAUGGAUCUCUUGGUUCUGGCAUCGAUGAAGAACGCAGCGAAAUGCGAUAAGUAGUGUGAAUUGCAGACUUUAGUGAAUCAUCGAAUCUUUGAACGCACAUUGCGCCCCUUGGUAUUCCAUUGGGCAUGCCUGUUCGAGCGUCAUUUACACCCUCAAGCUCCGCUUGGUGUUGGGCGUCUGUCCCCGCUUCGUGCGGGACUCGCCCUAAAAGCAUUGGCAGCGGCUCCGCCGGCUUCUCGCGCAGCACUUUGCGCCUCGGGAGGCUUUCGGCGGGUCCGCGUCCAUGAAGAACCCCCCCAGUUUGACCUCGAAUCAGGUAGGGAUACCCGCUGAACUUAAGCAUAUCAAUAA
Molecule: ribosomal RNA, 508 nt
Filed under: uncultured fungus
Lineage: Eukaryota; Fungi
Description: eukaryotic LSU rRNA
Rfam family: 5.8S ribosomal RNA (bases 147-300)
Source: RNAcentral